GUCCUGCCUCGUCGGUGGUCGGUGGACCUGGUCAGGUGACGCAUACCGGGCUCUUAAAGGGAAGCAGCGUCACGCUGUCACGCGCCUUUAAGGGGUCUGUGCGCGUUCACGGUUCAUCUGUCUGCAUUCUGCUCCCCGGGCACAGAGAUAUUUUUCUCACAUGAUCGACCCUGUCAUCAUUGGCAGAAGCCCCAGAGGAAAAGACAUAAUGAAUUGUGGGAAGGUGGAGUUAAUGCAGAUGACAGAGAUGGUGCCUAUGACUUCUAAAUAGAGUCUACAGAGAAUAUGCAAAGAGAGAUUGAUCACAGAGAGAAGGGCAACGUUCACGCCAGUAGAACAACAGUUAAAGCUUAAACCCGAAUACCACAAACAAUCAGCAAAUCCUCCUCAAGCGAGUGAUGAAAUACAAUACAAACAGAAAAACACUGAUAACCUCACAGAUAAGCAGCUUGAUCAUGUACUCCAUGAGAGAGGAGAUAAAUCAACUGAGGGAAAAUAACAAAACUCAGAAGUAAUGAAGACAAGAGAAAUUCCAGGAAAGGCAGCAAAGGAAGAAGUAACCACAAUCUUGAGGGGAGAAACAUGGAACUUUUUCUGUAUCUAUGAAAGACACACUUCAACGAAGUGGACAGAAUGGACACUGAAGGUGAGACAACAUGCAGUUAUGUAGAUUGAUGGUUUUGUUAUUAAAUAACAUUUUUACACCAUCUUUUCCUCAAAGACAAUGAAAUUUGUGUCUAGUCAGCUGCAAGUAGU
Molecule: long non-coding RNA, 756 nt
Organism: Labeo rohita (rohu)
Lineage: Eukaryota; Metazoa; Chordata; Actinopteri; Cypriniformes; Cyprinidae
Exons: 3
Source: RefSeq, a predicted model, not a curated record